Molecule: ribosomal RNA, 121 nt
Filed under: Xepicula leucotricha
Lineage: Eukaryota; Fungi; Ascomycota; Sordariomycetes; Hypocreales; Stachybotryaceae
Description: partial 5.8S ribosomal RNA
Rfam family: 5.8S ribosomal RNA (bases 1-74)
About the family: 5.8S ribosomal RNA (5.8S rRNA) is a component of the large subunit of the eukaryotic ribosome. It is transcribed by RNA polymerase I as part of the 45S precursor that also contains 18S and 28S rRNA.
Source: RNAcentral
UCAGUGAAUCAUCGAAUCUUUGAACGCACAUUGCGCCCGCCAGUAUUCUGGCGGGCAUGCCUGUCCGAGCGUCAUUUCAACCCUCAGAGCCCACCGCUUGCGGUGCGGCGCUGGUGUUGGG